GACGAACGCUGGCGGCGUGCUUAACACAUGCAAGUCGAACGGAAAGGCCCUGCUUUUGUGGGGUGCUCGAGUGGCGAACGGGUGAGUAACACGUGAGUAACCUGCCCUUGACUUUGGGAUAACUUCAAGAAACUGGGGCUAAUACCGGAUAGGAGCUCCUGCUGCAUGGUGGGGGUUGGAAAGUUUCGGCGGUUGGGGAUGGACUCGCGGCUUAUCAGCUUGUUGGUGGGGUAGUGGCUUACCAAGGCUUUGACGGGUAGCCGGCCUGAGAGGGUGACCGGCCACAUUGGGACUGAGAUACGGCUCAGACUCCUACGGGAGGCAGCAGUGGGGAAUAUUGCACAAUGGGCGGAAGCCUGAUGCAGCAACGCCGCGUGCGGGAUGACGGCCUUCGGGUUGUAAACCGCUUUCGCCUGUGACGAAGCGUGAGUGACGGUAAUGGGUAAAGAAGCACCGGCUAACUACGUG
This 468-nucleotide ribosomal RNA is filed under the name uncultured bacterium. RNAcentral describes it as "partial 16S ribosomal RNA". It matches the Rfam family "Bacterial small subunit ribosomal RNA", at positions 28 to 507 of the family's 1533-position model. The record is from RNAcentral.